AGAAAGCCUAAUGCUUCAGAAAUCCUUACAUUUAUGAUAUUCCCGUGAGUGUUGAUCAGCCUUUUUUAUUUUCUUUCUUUUUUUUUUUUUCUGAAAAACUGGAUUGAAGUCAUGCUGUUGUUACUCUUUUCAAGGUCCUUUCCCUUUAAAAAGUGAUUAGACGUUAUUCCACUGAUGCUUUCCUUUGCUUGCUCUGUAGGUUGAUUCCAGUCUGGACACUCUGAAGCAAUUGCUACUGGGACUUCUGAGCUACUCAGACACAGCAGAGAUAAAGGCCAUAUAAAAAACUAGAUUUGGAUCAGUUCUACAGCUCUUUUAAGGACAAAGUCUGUCUUUCUGCAAGAUUCUUACAACUUUAUACACUUUGAGUCGUUCAGUUAAUAGAUUAUUCAGAGGGUAAAAACAGAAGAAGUCAUUGCAGGAGGUUGUGUUUGACUAGGGCUCAACCUCCGUCUCUACAUCCUAAGCCUUACAGAAAAUUUUCUCAGACUGCGAUCAGGUAAAGGCAUUUCCACUGGCCAUUUUGGUGGUCCAAUUGCUGAACCUUGGCUUGUCAACGCUUGGUAUUUAGAUAGUAGAUGCUUCUUCCUUGUUUCCUCUUUUGAGAUUUGGCUUCCACGACAUUCACACCUUCACAUAUACUUACUACAGGAUGCUGCAUUUUACUGUGAGACUACGUGACCCAUCCUGAGCAGCUCAGUUA
This 703-nucleotide long non-coding RNA is filed under the name Dromaius novaehollandiae (emu). RNAcentral describes it as "lncRNA (ENSDNVG00000016401.1)". The record is from RNAcentral. Lineage: Eukaryota; Metazoa; Chordata; Aves; Casuariiformes; Dromaiidae.